GACGAACGCUGGCGGCGUGCUUAACACAUGCAAGUCGAACGGUGAAGCGCCUUCCUUUUUGGUUGGUGUGGAUGAGUGGCGAACGGGUGAGUAACACGUGAGUAACCUGCCUUCUUCUUCUGGAUAACCGCAUGAAAGUGUGGCUAAUACGGGAUACUCCGGGUCUGUCGCAUGAUGGGUCCGGGAAAGAUAUUGUUUCGGUGGGGGCUGGGCUCGCGGCCUAUCAGCUUGUUGGUGGGGUGAUGGCCUACCAAGGCGGUGACGGGUAGCCGGCCUGAGAGGGUCGGCGGUCACACAGGGGCUGAGACACGGAGCAGACUCCUACGGGAGGCAGCGGUGAAGAAUAUAGAACGGUGGGAGCAAGCCUGAAGCAGCGACGCCGCGUGGGAGAUGGAGGCCUUCGGGUUGUGAACCUCUUUCGCCAGUGAAGCAGGCCUGCCUCGUUUGUGGGUGUGUUGACGGUAGCUAGAGAAGAAGCGCCGGCUAACUACGUG
This 494-nucleotide ribosomal RNA is filed under the name uncultured bacterium. Its description in RNAcentral is "partial 16S ribosomal RNA". It matches the Rfam family "Bacterial small subunit ribosomal RNA", at positions 28 to 507 of the family's 1533-position model. The record is from RNAcentral.